Molecule: ribosomal RNA, 1255 nt
Filed under: metagenome
Description: SSU rRNA
Rfam family: Eukaryotic small subunit ribosomal RNA
Source: RNAcentral
GUUGCAGUUAAAAAGCUCGUAGUUGGAUUUUUGUUUCUAGUUGCUCGGUUCUCCGCGGCGGCAUUUGUCGUCGUGUGAGAGCUGGCCGGAGACAUUUCUCGUCGUUCGUCGUGGCAACACGGCGGAAGGCGAAAUUACUUUGAGAAAAAUAGAGUGUUCCAAGCAGGCGUCACGCCACGAAUACUUCAGCAUGGAAUAAAACCAACGGGCUUUCGUCCUUUUGGUGGGUUCUGGACCAAGUCAUGAUUGAUAGGGACAGUUGGGGGUGCUCGUAUUCCGGGGCCAGAGGUGAAAUUCUUGGAUUCUCGGAAGACGAACAACUGCGAAAGCAUUCACCAAGGACGUUUUCUUUAAUCAAGAACGAAAGUUGGGGGAUCGAAGACGAUCAGAUACCGUCGUAGUCUCAACCAUAAACGAUGCCAACUGAGAAUUCUUUCCAGUCUCUCGUGGGACACGUGCCGCAAGGUAACGGCCCACGAAUCGACGGAAGGGGCGCUCUGUGAGAAAUCAAAGUUUUCGGGUUCCGGGGAGAGUAUUGUCGCAAGGCACAAAUUUAAAGGAAUUGAUGGGAGUUUAUCAUCGGGAAUGGAUUGUGCGGCUCAAAUUGACCCAACACGGGAAAACUUACCAGGUCCGUACAGAGUGAGGAGAAACAGACUGAAGUUCUUUUUUGAUUCUUUGGGUGGUGGUGCAUGGCCGUUCUUAGUUGGUGGUGUGGACUGUCUGGUUAAUUCCGUUAACGAACGAGACUUCUACCCUGAAUUUACAUUAUAACUAGUUUUCAAUGUCUGUCAAAGGACAUUUUUUCAUACGAUAAACUUCUUAGGGGGACUAAUGUGCAAUAAGCUCAUGGAGGCGGGAAGCGAUAGCAGGUCAUUGAUGCCCUUAGAAACCUGGGCCGCACGCGCAAUACACUGGACGGAUCAGCGUGUUCAUAGUUUCUCGUUGUGGGGCAACUUGCAGCGAGAGAACCUUGUUCGAGAGGACCGGGAAAUCAUUUAAAUCCGUCCGUGCUGGGGAUUGAGCAUUGCAAUUAUUGCUCAUGAACGAGGAAUUCCUUGUAGACGUACGUCAUCAGCGUACAUCGAAUACAUCCCUUGACUUUAUACACACCGCCCGUCGCUGUUACCGAUUGAAUGUUUUAGUGAGCUGUGAGGAGAAGAGUUGGGCAACUGAUUUUCCGAAUCACAUCAAACUUGAACAUUUAGAGGAAGCAAAAGUCGUAACAAGGUCCCCGUAGGUGAACCUGCGGGGG